GCAUUUCUUUCUCCUAUCUUCCGUGCGCCUCCGUUCUUCAUUGACCAUCAUGGAUCCCGUGACCGGUCCGUCGCCACCCUCCGCAUCGCGGCGUCAAUCCCAGGACUUUUCUACGGUUCAUACGGGUCAAGAUGACAGUCCUGCCAUGGACUCUACGGCAAAAACACAUCUCAAGGUUUCUGGUUCGCUGAACAACAUUCAAUUUGACUUGCCUGUGGAGAUUGUAGAAAAAGUUAACCAUUUUGCAAAUGAAGUAACUGAAAUGAGGAGAGGGUUUGACAACAUAUUAAUGGUCCAAGAACUCCAAAUGCAACAGAUUGCGGAUUUAACUCACGGUGUUUCACGAUAUCCACGCAAGAAAGAGAUCUCCAUUGACCCCGCUAACUCCAUCGCAAAACGAGUACAUGGACUGGAUGGUAGGCCUAUCAUAGCAAACAAAAAGUUUGAUUAUGAUAGAAGGACAUUUGUGGAAAAUAAGAAAGAUUUCGAUUCCGAGGCAACAUUUCCAGAGCAAUGUACUGUAAUAGACAUACAAUCUUUGGAUCGUGAGAACACCAUCGUGCACAUUGACGAUGUUGUGCUUACAGGAGCAAAUUUGGAGUGUCUGACCAAACUAUAUUGUUACGACGAUGAUAAAAAAUCCAUUAGCCCAGAGGCAUACAAAAUCUGUUGUGGAUGGAAAUGCGUACAUAGAGAGGGCGUCAGUCGUGUCUAUGCUUAUGUUAUCAGCUUUCUAUGAUGGGGUGGAUAUCAAUAGAUAUAAAAAUAUGAUGCACGAAUCAGCUGGCCAUAGAUAUUUACGCCAUGAUAUGGUCUUCCUUCCAAUAUGUACUUCAUUAAAGCAACUGGUAUGUAGCAAUCGUUGAUGGUACUAAACAAUAAGUCCAUGUACUAGAAUCAAUGGAGACCACUGUAAAGGACCAUACUGAACUAAUGCUUGCUUUGCAAGGAGUAGAAAAAUGCAUCAAGCUUGCCAUGGAUUCUGAUGUUCAUUAUCCUACGUGGACUGAUUUCAAUGUCACAAAUUGGGAUAUAAGCAUACGAUACUUGGCCAGGAAGAAGGAUAGGACCUCAAGUGGACUAUUCAUAAUAAAGUUCAUCGAGUACUGGAAUGGGGUGUGUCUGACUAAAACUUUUUUUCAGGAAGACAUCGAUGAAUACAGAAGAAAGAUAGCAGCGAUUCUUUACAACUCUCCAUCCAACAAAAUUCAGAAUCAUGUACAGGCCAUCUCCGAAGAAAUCUAAGAUGUUCAGCUUUGCAUUGGGAGGAGAUUUUUUCAUUAAAUUCUUAGAUGUUCAUUUAUCAUUGCGAUGUUUUAUUUUGGAGAUUCUUAGUUUGUCUUGUCGGAUGUUCAUUUCGAAUAAGCUAGGUGUAAUUUUUUUAAUAUUAAACUCUAUCUGUUAUUUAUUAAAUGAUACUCUAUCUGGUUAUUCAACGAUGUCAGAUGCGGGAACUUAUUCUUUUUUUUUAAAGAAAAUAACGUUCUGCAAUAAUAUAUGCAUGCGGUCGAUCGAAUAACCAUGAUUCUCUACUACUUAAAAAUAGUAGUACAUCUGGGGGAUUUUUUUCCAGUA
Oryza sativa Japonica Group (Japanese rice) is the source of this 1575-nucleotide RNA transcript. RefSeq lists it as uncharacterized. Lineage: Eukaryota; Viridiplantae; Streptophyta; Magnoliopsida; Poales; Poaceae. The record is from RefSeq and is a predicted model, not a curated record.